RNAcentral lists this ribosomal RNA (460 nucleotides) under uncultured bacterium. RNAcentral's name for it is "partial 16S ribosomal RNA". It matches the Rfam family "Bacterial small subunit ribosomal RNA", at positions 338 to 795 of the family's 1533-position model. The record is from RNAcentral.
CCUACGGGUGGCAGCAGUGAGGAAUAUUGGUCAAUGGACGAGAGUCUGAACCAGCCAAGUAGCGUGAAGGAUGACUGCCCUAUGGGUUGUAAACUUCUGUUGUAUGGGAAUAAAACGUUCCACGUGUGGGAUUUUGUAUGUACCCUAUGAAUAAGGAUCGGCUAACUCCGUGCCAGCAGCCGCGGUAAUACGGAGGAUCCGAGCGUUAUCCGGAUUUAUUGGGUUUAAAGGGAGCGUAGGUGGAUUGUUAAGUCAGUUGUGAAAGUUUGCGGCUCAACCGUAAAAUUGCAGUUGAAACUGGCAGUCUUGAGUACAGUAGAGGUGGGCGGAAUUCGUGGUGUAGCGGUGAAAUGCUUAGAUAUCACGAAGAACUCCGAUUGCGAAGGCAGUUCACUGGACUGCAACUGACACUGAGGCUCGAAAGUGUGGGUAUCAAACAGGAUUAGAUACCCUAGUAGUC